RNAcentral lists this ribosomal RNA (153 nucleotides) under Xestia baja. RNAcentral describes it as "partial large subunit ribosomal RNA". Lineage: Eukaryota; Metazoa; Arthropoda; Insecta; Lepidoptera; Noctuidae. The record is from RNAcentral.
UUUUAUAAAUAAUUUAAUUAAGAUUAUAUUUAAAUAAAAAUUAAAAUUAAUUUAUUUAUUUUGUUGGGGUGACAGAAAAAUAAAUAAAACUUUUUUUAAAAAUAAACAUAUAUAAAUGAAUAAAUGAUCCAAUAUUAUUGAUUAAAAGAAAAA